Molecule: long non-coding RNA, 326 nt
Filed under: Gossypium barbadense (sea-island cotton)
Lineage: Eukaryota; Viridiplantae; Streptophyta; Magnoliopsida; Malvales; Malvaceae
Description: long non-coding RNA (GBAR_LNC003049)
Source: RNAcentral
CAACAAGCUAAAGUAGCUGCAAAAGAUAAGAAAAUACAAAAGCAUAAAUUCAAGUUCAGCAACCUGGGAGCAUCAUUCAGGAGGCUUGAGCAUGGUUUGGAUCGAGCUUAGCAGCCUCAAGAUCAGCAGCUUUCUUCAGAAAACUUUGGUCAUCAUCCUCAAGAACCAUCUGGAUAGGGCAAGAUCCCAAUCCAUCAGCAAUAGCAAGCAGAAUCUUCUUCAUCUCAGAUCUGAACUCCUGGAGGUCAACGGUGCCGCUGCCAUCGCAAUCAAACCUCUCGAAAAUGGAGUUGUAAAGCUGAGUGAGCUCGUCGGGGGGAGUGGCG